This is a long non-coding RNA of Gadus macrocephalus (Pacific cod), 652 nucleotides long. RefSeq lists it as uncharacterized. The record is from RefSeq and is a predicted model, not a curated record. Lineage: Eukaryota; Metazoa; Chordata; Actinopteri; Gadiformes; Gadidae. The transcript has 2 exons.
CUGCUUCUCCUUCUUCUCGUAAUACUCCAUGAUCUUCAACCGCUGUGUCUGCACCAGCCGGCCCUUCUCGAUGUUGAACUCCUCUUCUGCCUGCAUCGGGACACACACGCGCACAAUGACAUUUGGCAAAGGCAUUGAUCACGUGACCAGGAGAACCUGCCACGGCCAUCUGCAGUGCAGUUUAAUCGUGUAUGUUGUUGCCUAUUCGGAAAAUAUCUAACGUAAUGCAAUAUCGGCGCUAAAACCGAAUGGCAAAAAUGACGAUACAUGGACCUUGUAAAGUAAAUUAAUAAUAGAUCUAUAAUAUUAUCCCAGUGUCAAUGUCACUCCUUGUUAAGCGUUGCAUAAUGAGACACAGUAGAAAACGAAGGUUACCCAGCAGCCAUUUCAAAAUAAAUAGUAAAUAAAGAUAAUGUAUAAAUAGCGAAGGAUGCAUUAAUGAAUCGUGAAGGUUAAAAUGAAACGUACCUGCUUCUGUACGUCGGCAUCGCUGAGCGCCAUGGUUGCAGCCGUCAAGAUCCGCUAGGCCUACGAGAAAUGCACUUGUUUAGAAUAAUUUCGGAAUAAAUGAACGUAAAAAAAAAAGGCAAUCAAAUAGUGUAUUACGAUAGGAAAGAAACAAGAAACAUAUAUAACCUGGAAUUGGAGGUAA